Molecule: ribosomal RNA, 492 nt
Filed under: uncultured bacterium
Lineage: Bacteria
Description: partial 16S ribosomal RNA
Rfam family: Bacterial small subunit ribosomal RNA
Source: RNAcentral
GAUGAACGCUGGCGGCGUGCCUAACACAUGCAAGUCGAACGGCAGCACAGUAAGAUUUUUUUCUUACGGUUAGCGGCUGACGGGUGAGUAACACGUGCAUAACCUUCUACUUUUUCUGGGAUAACUACGUAAAACAGGUGCUACUAAUAGAUCAUACCUCCUACGGGUUAGAGCAUGGGUGAAUCGGGCUUUUCUCGUUUGAAUUAGCCGAGGUCGCAUUAGCUAGUUGGGGGGGUAAAGGCCCACCAAGGCGACGAUCCGUAGCUGGUCUGAGAGGAUGAUCAGCCACACUGGAACUGAGACACGGUCCAGACUCCUACGGGAGGCAGCAGUGGGGAAUAUUGGACAAUGGGCGAAAGCCUGAUGCAGCAAUACCGCGUGGGUGAAGAAGGCCUUCGGGUUGUAAAGCCCUUUUGUUGGGAAAGAAAAGCAGCAGGUUAAUACGCGGCUGUUCUGACGGUACCCAAUGAAUAAGCACCGGCUAACUUCGUG